RNAcentral lists this ribosomal RNA (433 nucleotides) under uncultured bacterium. RNAcentral describes it as "partial 16S ribosomal RNA". It matches the Rfam family "Bacterial small subunit ribosomal RNA", at positions 29 to 507 of the family's 1533-position model. The record is from RNAcentral.
AACGAACGCUGGCGGCAUGCCUAACACAUGCAAGUCGAACGAGACCUUCGGGUCUAGUGGCGCACGGGUGCGUAACGCGUGGGAACCUGCCCUUAGGUUCGGAAUAACUCCCCGAAAGGGGUGCUAAUACCGGAUAAUGUCUUCGGACCAAAGAUUUAUCGCCUUUGGAUGGGCCCGCGUUGGAUUAGCUAGUUGGUAGGGUAAUAGCCUACCAAGGCGACGUUCCAUAGCUGGUCUGAGAGGAUGAUCAGCCACACUGGGACUGAGACACGGCCCAGACUCCUACGGGAGGCAGCAGUGGAGAAUAUUAGACAAUGGGCGAAAGCCUGAUCCAGCAAUGCCGCGUGAGUGAUGAAUGCCUUAGGGUUGUAAAGCUCUUUUACCCGGGAUGAUAAUGACAGUACCGGGAGAAUAAGCUCCGGCUAACUCCGUG